AUGCCGGGCACCAUCACGGACUGGACGGGGCGCGCUUGCUCCCCGCACCCCAUCCGCGAAGGAGCAGGGCUCCGGGACGUGGCGCGGCCCCGCUGCUCAGCAUCCGUUCUGCCGGCACAUCCUCCUCUCCGCAGGUGCCUGCGGGGCCGGGCUGCCGGCGGCGGCCAGAAAUGCCAGGAGCGGCGAGGCCCCGGGGCCCCGGCAGGGCACGGAGCGGCAUCCCGGCCUCGCUGCUGCUCUGCCUGGCGGCAGCAGCCGCUGACGGGUGAGGUCCCCUCCGUCCCCAAACAGCCCCUCGCGGCUGCCAGCCGUGCACCAGCUCCAUCCCGGUGCCGGGUGCAGGUCCCGGUGCCAGGUCCAUCCCGGUGGCGGGUGGGGGUCCCGGUGCCAGGUGUGGGUCUCGGUGCCAGCUCCAUCCCAGUGCUGGUUGGGGGUCCCACUGCUGGGUGUGGGUCUUGGUGCCAGCUCCAUCCUGGUGCCAGGUGUGGCUCCCAGUGCCAGGUCCAUCCCGGUGGCGGGUGGGGGUCCCGGUGCCAGGUGUGGGUCCCAGUGCCAGGUGUGGGUCCCAGUGCCAGAUCCAUCCCAAUGCCAAGUCCAGGUCCCGGUGCUGGGUGCGGGUCCCAGUGCCAGGUCCAUCCCAGUGCUGGGUAUGGGUCCUGGUGCCAGGUGCAGAUCCUGGUGCCAGGUGUGGGUCCCAGUGCCAGGUGUGGGUCCCAGUGCCAGGUGUGGGUCCCAGUGCCGGGUGCGGAUCCCGGUGCUGGGUGCAGAUCCCGGUGCCAGGUGCAGGUCCCAGUGCUGGGUGCAGAUCCCGGUGCCGGGAGCGGGUCCCCCGCCUCAGCGGGCGCCGUUGCAGGCGGUGGUGCGAGAGGACGGAGCAGGUGACGGAGGAGGCGGUGGUGACGCCCCGGCGCGAGGAGGUGGUGCCCUGCGCCAGCGUCUACCAGUACAGCCUGGCGGGAUGGCGGAUCGACCGGGAGCGCAUGCGGCAGGGCCCCGGCUCCGCCGCCCCCAUGUGCUACCUGUACAAGUGAGCGUCCCGGGAGACGCGGCCGGAGCUGCGGAACCGCACGGUGCGUGCCUGCUGCCCGGGCUGGAGCGGCCCCCGCUGCACCCAAGGUAGGGGCCGCGGUGCCGGCGCGGCGGCAGCGGCGGUGCAACGGCGGCAUGGAGGCGAGGCGCAUCCCUCUCCCGCAGGCGCAGCCUUCCUGGGGCGCUGCUACUCCGCGUGGCAAUGCCAGGACGCUCCGGGCGGCCGCAACCUGUCGGCGAUGAGCCUGGCCGAGUGCUGCGGCCGCCCCUGGGGGCACAGCUGGAGCAACGCCUCGGCGCCGGCGCUCUGCUUCGCCUGCUCCCACCUGCCCCUCG
Molecule: long non-coding RNA, 1365 nt
Filed under: Apteryx haastii (Great spotted kiwi)
Lineage: Eukaryota; Metazoa; Chordata; Aves; Apterygiformes; Apterygidae
Description: lncRNA (ENSAHAG00000000695.1)
Source: RNAcentral